GAUGAACGCUGGCGGCGUGCCUAAUACAUGCAAGUCGAGCGAACAGACGAGGAGCUUGCUCCUCUGACGUUAGCGGCGGACGGGUGAGUAACACGUGGAUAACCUACCUAUAAGACUGGGAUAACUUCGGGAAACCGGAGCUAAUACCGGAUAAUAUAUUGAACCGCAUGGUUCAAUAGUGAAAGACGGUUUUGCUGUCACUUAUAGAUGGAUCCGCGCCGCAUUAGCUAGUUGGUAAGGUAACGGCUUACCAAGGCAACGAUGCGUAGCCGACCUGAGAGGGUGGUCGGCCACCCUGGAACGGAGACACGGUCCAGACUCCUGCGGGAGGCAGCAGUAGGGAAUCUGCCGCAAUGGGCGAAAGCCUGACGGAGCAACGCCGCGUGAGUGAUGAAGGUCUUCGGAUCGUAAAACUCUGUUAUUAGGGAAGAACAAAUGUGUAAGUAACUAUGCACGUCUUGACGGUACCUAAUCAGAAAGCCACGGCUAACUACGUG
RNAcentral lists this ribosomal RNA (497 nucleotides) under uncultured bacterium. Its description in RNAcentral is "partial 16S ribosomal RNA". It matches the Rfam family "Bacterial small subunit ribosomal RNA", at positions 28 to 507 of the family's 1533-position model. The record is from RNAcentral.